CUGUGACCCCNGGUCAGGCGGGACUACCCGCUGAGUUUAA
RNAcentral lists this ribosomal RNA (40 nucleotides) under Hansenia weberbaueriana. RNAcentral describes it as "partial 26S ribosomal RNA". The record is from RNAcentral. Lineage: Eukaryota; Viridiplantae; Streptophyta; Magnoliopsida; Apiales; Apiaceae. RNAcentral also lists the same sequence under 1 other name.